This 524-nucleotide ribosomal RNA is filed under the name uncultured bacterium. Its description in RNAcentral is "partial 16S ribosomal RNA". It matches the Rfam family "Bacterial small subunit ribosomal RNA", at positions 28 to 523 of the family's 1533-position model. The record is from RNAcentral.
GACGAACGCUGGCGGCGUGCUUAACACAUGCAAGUCGAACGAGACGAUUGAAAGCUUGCUUUUGAAAGUCGAGUGGCAAACGGGUGAGUAACGCGUAGACAACCUGCCUUUGAGAUGGGGACAACAGUUCGAAAGGACUGCUAAUACCGAAUGUUGUAUAUUUUCCACAUGGAAGAUAUAUUAAAGAUGGCCUCUAUUUAUAAGCUAUAGCUCAAAGAUGGGUCUGCGUCUGAUUAGCUGGUUGGUGGGGUAACGGCCUACAAAGGCGAUGAUAAAGAGCCGGUCUGAGAGGAUGAACGGCCACAUUGGGACGGAGACACGGCCCAGAGUCCUACGGGAGGCAGCAGUGGGGAAUCUUCCACAAUGGACGAAAGUCUGAUGGAGCAACGCCGCGUGAGUGAAGAAGGGUUUCGGCCCGUAAAGCUCUGUUGUCGGGGACGAAUGUGCAGUAUUUGAAUAAAGUACUGUAAUGACGGUACCUGACGAGGAAGCCACGGCUAACUACGUGCCAGCAGCCGCCGCCG